This 1712-nucleotide long non-coding RNA is filed under the name Triticum aestivum (bread wheat). Its description in RNAcentral is "long non-coding RNA (TAES_LNC005898)". The record is from RNAcentral. Lineage: Eukaryota; Viridiplantae; Streptophyta; Magnoliopsida; Poales; Poaceae.
UCGAGGGGUACGCGCCUCUUGUUGCGGGCUUUCAGCUGCAGACAGAGAGGUGUCGACGACGGCCGGACCAUGGAGCGGCGGCCUUGCGAAAUUCAGAUCGACGGUAAGCCGCUAUGCCCGUCGCGAAAAUCCACACCCGAAAAUUUAACCCCGCGGCGUUCAUCUGUAGGGCUGGAGUGGAAAAUUCGCCUGCUGUUAGUUCCAAUCCCGUGCGGUGUUCCCCCUGGAUCCAGCCAAGAACCCACCCGUUCCUCUGCCAUUGUGAGUUGGUAGAUCGAGUGACUGGAGCAAUGGCUGUUCGGAGAGGAGAUGGAUAUCACUGGCCGUAGUGUUCUGUUGGGCUGGAUAUCUUUUGUGUACCGGUGAAAGGACUAAACGAUUCUUUCACAAUAUACUAGAGUUCGUACAGAUUUGUCCAAACUUGUGAGGAAUUGCAACGCUGCGCGAUGCAGAAACUACCAAAUGCUCAGUUAAAGUUUUUUUCUUAUUACCUGAAGCGCAUUGUUUUUUCAAGUCCUAGGUGUAUGCCGGCAAAAUGCCUGAUCCUGUUCUGUUAUUGCAGAUGAAUCGGCUGCUUCAUUGGCUAUAGGAAAGGGAUCACCCUGCAAACACGAUGGCAAAACAAGGAAAUGUUCAGGGCCAGAACUUCCAGAAGUGAGUUACAGCAUCAAUUGACUUAUACCUGAUGGUGCAGUUAAGGCUGAAGUGUGCGUGCCACUGAUUAAUUGACAAUAGAUGUUGGGUCUGUGUGAGAAUGUGAGGUCAAGACAUAUAUAGUAGCCAGGGGUAGACUAGAAGCAAAGGGCAAGAACAUGUUGUUCUCGCUGCCAAGAUUGGGGUUAUGGUUGACCGUUUGUUAUCAGGCACUGUAUUUGGAUCUGAUAGCUCUGUGUUUCUACUCACUUUUCAUAACAAGCAUCCAGUCUCAUAUGCGCCGUCCAAUAAUAGUGGGAGGGAGGGAGGGCGGGCAGCGGCGACGAGCGGAGGAACGUGCGACUGAUAGGAUUACAAAGAGAUUAAGCAUGAUUAAAGAUACAACAAUAUGGUGCUGUCAGCAUGUUCCUUUAGUUAUCCCGUUUAUAUUGUUACUAUGUUGCAGCAGAUGCUUUAUCUUGAAUUCCGUCUAUUUACAUCACUUAUUUGCCGCUGCUACUGGAAUUGUAGUAAGAGAUAAUGGUUAAGCAGUAGUUGCUGCCCAGUUGAAUUUCUCUUUUGAUCUAUGUGUUCUAUGAUUUGUUAUGAAUGUUUGCAUUUUGUUCAAAUGUGACAAACUCCCUUUCUUUGAAACAGAGUUCCACUUGUAAUUUGGAAGUUCUAUAAAAGUGUGUCUCGGUGUGACAACCUGAAGGGGUGUGAUCAGGAGGCAAAACUACGAACUGGGAGCUUGGCUAUGGAGAAACAGAGCUGGAUAUUGCGUUCUCAAUGUGAAUAGAAUGUCUCAGUGCUACUAUGUUAAGGGGUGCAAGGGCAUGAUGUUUCUAAUCUGAUGCAAUCUCAAUGUUUACUAAGUAUCUGUGUCUGAAUCUGCAUGUUUUGCUUGCUGCCUUGUAGGAGUCUCUCCCUUUCUUCUGUCAAAUUUGGAACGCCUGAUCAUGUGAAAAACACUGGUUACUCUGUUUUCACGGAUUACUAUCUAACUGUAAGUCUGUUCUAAACCCUAAGCCCCAUGUAAAUCUGAUGUAAGAUUAAGCUAUUUAACUUUAACUUAAAAG